RNAcentral lists this long non-coding RNA (444 nucleotides) under Musa acuminata (dwarf banana). RNAcentral's name for it is "long non-coding RNA (MACU_LNC008197)". Lineage: Eukaryota; Viridiplantae; Streptophyta; Magnoliopsida; Zingiberales; Musaceae. The record is from RNAcentral.
UUAUAUUGUUUUUAUCUUCUAUUAUUUCUAUCAUGGUAUCAGAGCCAUUGGGCGAUCGCUUCCAGGCCGGUUUCUUCCCUCGAGCGGCGUCCGACGAGGACGGAGCCACGUCCUCCACCGGCGGCCUUUGGGGGGAUCGAUCCAAGGCGUCCGGGAAGGGGAUCGCAGCGGCCGUAGGCGGGGACGGCGUGGAGGAGGGAGAGGACGGGGCCUCAGGAUCGCCGGGGACGAGGUGCGAGCGGGGAUGGCGGCCGGGCCGGGCGGCGCGUGGGGAAGGGGUGCUGGACAAGGGAUCGGAGGCGGCCGCCCAAUCGACGCGGGCGCCGUCGUGAUGGGGGGCGCUGCCUCCUGGCCCGCCCUCUCCGAAUCGGCCAAGACUACCUCCAAAUCUCCGUCCUCCGAUGCUCUGAAAGCCCUCUCCGAUGGACCGCUCUCCGCGCCCCC